Ipomoea nil (Japanese morning glory) is the source of this 211-nucleotide long non-coding RNA. RefSeq lists it as uncharacterized. NCBI's taxonomy places the organism in Eukaryota, Viridiplantae, Streptophyta, Magnoliopsida, Solanales, Convolvulaceae. The record is from RefSeq and is a predicted model, not a curated record. The transcript is spliced from 3 exons.
GUGCUCUUCCUAUCUCAGCACCUUUUGAUUGAGAUUUUGAGAAGAGUUGCUCUUUGGAGAGCACAGUACGAUGAAAGUUGUAUGCUGUGUUCGGGGGGGAAUUAUUGUCUAUCGUUGGCCUCUAUGGUAGAAUCAGUCGGGGACCUGAGAGGCGGUGGUUUACCCUGCGGCGGAUGUCAGCGAUUCGAGUCCGCUUAUCUCCAACUCCUGA